GUCACAGGAUCUGCUACUCCAGUUAUCAACAAAGAGAACAAGAACUACAAACCCACAUCUUCAAGAAAUAAGGAAGUGGCUAAACCUCCAAAGUACAGCAUUUGAACAAUACAUCCAAAUAUGGUGAACCUUGACCCAAUGGAGGAAAAACAUUGAGAGCCAGGGUAUACAGUUCCAGAUUUUAAGUAGACUGCAGCAACUACCAUUUGGAGAAGGUGGACAGUCCAGGGGAAAACUGGGCACAUCCUUGGUGGGUGAGGCGGGGAGGAGAUGAGUAAAGUUUCCUACUGCAGAAAAGCAGAAGGGAAGGUUCAGAAGAGGAAUCCCAUAUUUUCCUAAUGUCCUGCAAACUAUCCUCUUUACAAUGAGAAAUAGUCUGGAGAUAAGGGAAUGGAAACAGGAGAAAACAACACUCAAGUGCUUAACAUACAUAGAUCUAUAUGUACAUACUGCAACACCAGGAACCACAUAGAUGUCUCUGAGUGAAAUGCUCACCCCAAAGUGGGCAGCAUACCAUGCUUGCAGAGAGACAUACCCAGUCACAGGAAGUAGCAGACAUGGUGCAUCAGGCCACAAAUGAAAGAAAG
This 587-nucleotide long non-coding RNA is filed under the name Homo sapiens (human). Its description in RNAcentral is "HSALNT0137195". Lineage: Eukaryota; Metazoa; Chordata; Mammalia; Primates; Hominidae. The record is from RNAcentral.